AGUGAACGCUGGCGGUAGGCCUAACACAUGCAAGUCGAGCGGCUGCAAGGAGCUUGCUCCUUGUUUCAGCGGCGGACGGGUGAGUAAUGCCUAAGAAUCUGCCUGGUUGUUGGUUAGAACGUCCUAAAACGGGCGCUAAUACCGCAUAAGUCCUUACGACGUACGUGUGGGAGCUUGGGAUCUCCGGCCCUCGCGUGAUCCUAUGUCGGAUUAGCUAGUUGGUGGGGUAAAGGCGUACCUAGGCGACGAGCCGUAACUGGUUCGAUAGGAUGGAAGGGCAAAAUGGAACUGAGACACCGUACAGACUCCUACGGGAGGACGCAGUGGGGAAUAUUGGACAAUGGGGGAAAGCCUGAUCCAACCAUGCCGGGUGUGUUGAGAAGGUCUUCCGAUUGUAAAACCCUUUAAGUUGGGAGGAAGGGCAGUAAGUUUAUACCUUGCUGUUUUGACGGUAACAAAAGGAUAAGCCACCGCUAAAUUCCUG
RNAcentral lists this ribosomal RNA (484 nucleotides) under uncultured bacterium. RNAcentral describes it as "partial 16S ribosomal RNA". It matches the Rfam family "Bacterial small subunit ribosomal RNA", at positions 29 to 507 of the family's 1533-position model. The record is from RNAcentral.